This 686-nucleotide ribosomal RNA is filed under the name Pseudomonas marginalis. RNAcentral's name for it is "bacterial SSU rRNA". It matches the Rfam family "Bacterial small subunit ribosomal RNA", at positions 75 to 757 of the family's 1533-position model. Lineage: Bacteria; Pseudomonadati; Pseudomonadota; Gammaproteobacteria; Pseudomonadales; Pseudomonadaceae. The record is from RNAcentral.
GUAGCUUGCUUCUCUUGAGAGCGGCGGACGGGUGAGUAAUGCCUAGGAAUCUGCCUGGUAGUGGGGGAUAACGUUCGGAAACGGACGCUAAUACCGCAUACGUCCUACGGGAGAAAGCAGGGGACCUUCGGGCCUUGCGCUAUCAGAUGAGCCUAGGUCGGAUUAGCUAGUUGGUGGGGUAAUGGCUCACCAAGGCGACGAUCCGUAACUGGUCUGAGAGGAUGAUCAGUCACACUGGAACUGAGACACGGUCCAGACUCCUACGGGAGGCAGCAGUGGGGAAUAUUGGACAAUGGGCGAAAGCCUGAUCCAGCCAUGCCGCGUGUGUGAAGAAGGUCUUCGGAUUGUAAAGCACUUUAAGUUGGGAGGAAGGGCCAUUACCUAAUACGUGAUGGUUUUGACGUUACCGACAGAAUAAGCACCGGCUAACUCUGUGCCAGCAGCCGCGGUAAUACAGAGGGUGCAAGCGUUAAUCGGAAUUACUGGGCGUAAAGCGCGCGUAGGUGGUUUGUUAAGUUGGAUGUGAAAUCCCCGGGCUCAACCUGGGAACUGCAUUCAAAACUGACUGACUAGAGUAUGGUAGAGGGUGGUGGAAUUUCCUGUGUAGCGGUGAAAUGCGUANAUAUAGGAAGGAACACCAGUGGCGAAGGCGACCACCUGGACUGAUACUGACACUGANGUGCGAA